Molecule: ribosomal RNA, 484 nt
Filed under: uncultured bacterium
Lineage: Bacteria
Description: partial 16S ribosomal RNA
Rfam family: Bacterial small subunit ribosomal RNA
Source: RNAcentral
AUUGAACGCUGGCGGCAGGCCUAACACAUGCAAGUCGAGCGGAUGAAGGGAGCUUGCUCCUGGAUUCAGCGGCGGACGGGUGAGUAAUGCCUAGGAAUCUGCCUGGUAGUUGGGGAUAACGUCCGGAAACGGGCGCUAAUACCGCAUACGUCCUGAGGGAGAAAGUGGGGGAUCUUCGGACCUCACGCUAUCAGAUGAGCCUAGGUCGGAUUAGCUAGUUGGUUGGGUAAAGGCCUACCAAGGCGACGAUCCGUAGCUGGUCUGAGAGGAUGAUCAGUCACACUGGAACUGAGACACGGUCCAGACUCCUACGGGAGGCAGCAGUGGGGAAUAUUGGACAAUGGGCGAAAGCCUGAUCCAGCCAUGCCGCGUGUGUGAAGAAGGUCUUCGGAUUGUAAAGCACUUUAAGUUGGGAGGAAGGGCAGUAAGUUAAUACCUUGCUGUUUUGACGUUACCAAAAGAAUAAGCACCGGCUAACUUCGUG